ACGGGUGAGUAACACGUGAGUAACCUGCCCCUGACUCUGGGAUAACUACCGGAAACGGUGGCUAAUACCGGAUAUGAGGCGCCUGGGCAUCUGGGCGCCUGGAAAGUUUUUCGGUCAGGGAUGGGCUCGCGGCCUAUCAGCUUGUUGGUGGGGUGAUGGCCUACCAAGGCGACGACGGGUAGCCGGCCUGAGAGGGCGACCGGCCACACUGGGACUGAGACACGGCCCAGACUCCUACGGGAGGCAGCAGUGGGGAAUAUUGCACAAUGGGCGCAAGCCUGAUGCAGCGACGCCGCGUGCGGGAUGACGGCCUUCGGGUUGUAAACCGCUUUCAGCAGGGAAGAAGCGAAAGUGACGGUACCUGCAGAAGAAGCGCCGGCUAACUACGUGCCAGCAGCCGCGGUAAUACGUAGGGCGCAAGCGUUGUCCGGAAUUAUUGGGCGUAAAGAGCUCGUAGGCGGUUUGUCGCGUCUGCUGUGAAAUCCUCAGGCUCAACCUGGGGCUUGCAGUGGGUACGGGCAGACUAGAGUGCGGUAGGGGUGACUGGAAUUCCUGGU
RNAcentral lists this ribosomal RNA (557 nucleotides) under uncultured bacterium. Its description in RNAcentral is "bacterial SSU rRNA". It matches the Rfam family "Bacterial small subunit ribosomal RNA", at positions 102 to 674 of the family's 1533-position model. The record is from RNAcentral.